RNAcentral lists this ribosomal RNA (301 nucleotides) under uncultured bacterium. Its description in RNAcentral is "partial 16S ribosomal RNA". It matches the Rfam family "Bacterial small subunit ribosomal RNA", at positions 509 to 807 of the family's 1533-position model. The record is from RNAcentral.
CAGUCGCCGCGGUAAAACGGAGGAUCCAAGCGUUAUCCGGAUUUAUUGGGUUUAAAGGGUGCGUAGGCGGCUCAUUAAGUCAGGGGUGAAAGACGGUAGCUUAACUAUCGCAGUGCCUUUGAUACUGAUGAGCUUGAAUGUAGUUGAGGUAGGCGGAAUGUGACAAGUAGCGGUGAAAUGCAUAGAUAUGUCACAGAACACCAAUUGCGAAGGCAGCUUACUAAAGUAUGAUUGACGCUGAGGCACGAAAGCGUGGGGAUCAAACAGGAUUAGAUACCCGCGUAGUCCCUGUCUCUUAUAC